This 1230-nucleotide long non-coding RNA is filed under the name Homo sapiens (human). RNAcentral describes it as "HSALNT0247119". The record is from RNAcentral. Lineage: Eukaryota; Metazoa; Chordata; Mammalia; Primates; Hominidae.
GAUCCCUCCAGAAUUCAUUAACUCUCAGUGAGUACUAUUAUUUUCAUACUUAUUUGCAUAAAUUCAAUAAGAAUUUUCUGUUCUUAUAACAAGGCAUGAUUAGAAACAUUGGCUGUAUAACCAAGGCUUUGACUAGUAUGUCAUAUUUAAGAAUGAUGUGCAUAGAAUCAGAUAUGAUCAGUUUUUUUAAAUUUUAUUUUAGGUUCAGAGGGUACAUGUGCGGAUUUGUUACUUGGAUAAUUUGCACGUCGCUGAGGUUUGGUGUACAAAUGAUCCUAUCACCCCGAGUAGUGAGCAUAGGACACGACAGAUCCUUACCUCACAAGGCCUGACCAGUGUCUUCAAUAAACCCACUUCCUUGUUUGUGAAACAUCUGGGGAAGUAUUAAAUGGGGGAAAGGAAGGAAUUAACAGCCCACCAAAAUGGUGUGAAAAUUACUUUAAACUCAAAACAUCUUCACAAUCAGCAGCCACAGAAAGAAACAUUAUCUAAACUUAGGCAGAGCCUCCUGAAUUACAGCUUCUAUGACCCCCUCUGAGGGAGUUUCCCGAUUGUGAGAAGACUCAUCCUAGGAUCAGCGAGUGAGGAUUUAGCUGUCCCUUAUCAUCACAAGGCCCAAUAGAAACUUCCCUACUUUCCCAUGGAGUCCAAACCCCACUCCCCCUCUCUGUUAAGUUGGUAUAUAAACCUUUAACUCUGCAGCCAUAAAAAAGAAUGAGAUCAUGUCCUUUGCAGGGAAGUGGGUGGAGCCUGUAAACCAUUAUCCUAAGCAAACUAACACAGGAACAAAUACUGCAUGUUCUCACUUAUAAGUGGGAGCUAAAGGAUGGGAACACAUGGACACACAGAGGGGAACAACACACACUGGGCCCUAUUGGAGGGUGGAGGUUGUGAGGAGGGAGAGGAUCAGAAAAAAUAACUAAUAGGUACUGGGCUUAAUGGCUGGGUGAUGAAAUAAUCUGUUCAACAAACCCUCAUGACACACGUUUACCUAUGUAUCAAACCUGCACUUGUACCCCUGAACUUAAAAUAAAAGCAAAAAACAAAAAACCAAAAACCUUUACCUCUGAGUAUUCAGGGAGUUGCCCAUUAUUGAAUAUUUCACAUGUACAUGUAAAUAAACCUUGUCCUUUCUUUUGUUAAUCUGUCCAUUGUUACUUAAUUCUCAGGCCUCUGACCAUUGAACCAAAGUGAGUAGAGAAAAAAAUUUUCCUCUUAGACUGUCUGGGC